RNAcentral lists this unclassified non-coding RNA (200 nucleotides) under Ascobolus sp. RNAcentral's name for it is "partial internal transcribed spacer 2". Lineage: Eukaryota; Fungi; Ascomycota; Pezizomycetes; Pezizales; Ascobolaceae. The record is from RNAcentral.
UUAAGUUCAGGGGGUAUCCCUACCUGAUCUGAGGUCAAGCUGUUAAAAUAAAUCGUUUAGUUGGCAGGCAGCUACACAGUCGCUUCGACGAGGAAUUACUUACUACGUCUUACAAGCUGAAGCAGCGCCGCCAAUAGCUUACAGGGGAGAGGCAAUGCCACUUCCCCCAAUACCAAACCAAGGUUUGAUUGAUUUAUUGA